Molecule: ribosomal RNA, 493 nt
Filed under: uncultured bacterium
Lineage: Bacteria
Description: partial 16S ribosomal RNA
Rfam family: Bacterial small subunit ribosomal RNA
Source: RNAcentral
AUUGAACGCUGGCGGCAUGCCUUACACAUGCAAGUCGAACGGUAACAGGUUAAGCUGACGAGUGGCGAACGGGUGAGUAAUGCAUCGGAACGUGCCCGGUCGUGGGGGAUAACACUUCGAAAGAAGUGCUAAUACCGCAUACGAUCUGAGGAUGAAAGCGGGGGACCGUAAGGCCUCGCGCGAUCGGAGCGGCCGAUGGCAGAUUAGGUAGUUGGUGGGGUAAAGGCCCACCAAGCCGACGAUCUGUAGCUGGUCUGAGAGGACGACCAGCCACACUGGGACUGAGACACGGCCCAGACUCCUACGGGAGGCAGCAGUGGGGAAUUUUGGACAAUGGGCGCAAGCCUGAUCCAGCAAUGCCGCGUGCAGGAAGAAGGCCUUCGGGUUGUAAACUGCUUUUGUACGGAGCGAAAAGGCUCCCUCUAAUACAGGGGGCUGAUGACGGUACCGUAAGAAUAAGCACCGGCUAACUACGUGCCAGCAGCCGCCGCAG